Small nuclear RNA from Gracilinanus agilis (Agile Gracile Mouse Opossum), 107 nucleotides. The record is from RefSeq and is a predicted model, not a curated record. NCBI's taxonomy places the organism in Eukaryota, Metazoa, Chordata, Mammalia, Didelphimorphia, Didelphidae.
GUGCUUGUUUCAGCAGCACAUAUACUAAAAUUGGAAUGAUACAGAGAAGAUUAGCAUGGCCCUCAGGCAAGGAUGACACACAAAUUCAUGCAGCAUUCCAUAUUUUU